RNAcentral lists this ribosomal RNA (254 nucleotides) under uncultured bacterium. RNAcentral describes it as "partial 16S ribosomal RNA". It matches the Rfam family "Archaeal small subunit ribosomal RNA", at positions 474 to 729 of the family's 1478-position model. The record is from RNAcentral.
UACCAGCACCCCGAGUGGUCGGGACGUUUAUUGGGCCUAAAGCAUCCGUAGCCGGUUCUACAAGUCUUCCGUUAAAUCCAGCUGCUUAACAGAUGGGCUGCGGAAGAUACUAUGGAGCUAGGAGGCGGGAGAGGCAAGCGGUACUCGAUGGGUAGGGGUAAAAUCCGUUGAUCCAUUGAAGACCACCAGUGGCGAAGGCGGCUGCCAGAACGCGCUCGACGGUGAGGGAUGAAAGCUGGGGGAGCAACCGGGAU